RNAcentral lists this ribosomal RNA (1346 nucleotides) under uncultured bacterium. RNAcentral describes it as "partial 16S ribosomal RNA". It matches the Rfam family "Bacterial small subunit ribosomal RNA", at positions 28 to 1381 of the family's 1533-position model. The record is from RNAcentral.
GACGAACGCUGGCGGCGUGCUUAACACAUGCAAGUCGAACGGAAAGGCCCUGCUUUUGUGGGGUGCUCGAGUGGCGAACGGGUGAGUAACACGUGAGUAACCUGCCCUUGACUUUGGGAUAACUUCAGGAAACUGGGGCUAAUACCGGAUAGGAGCUCCUGCUGCAUGGUGGGGGUUGGAAAGUUUCGGCGGUUGGGGAUGGACUCGCGGCUUAUCAGCUUGUUGGUGGGGUAGUGGCUUACCAAGGCUUUGACGGGUAGCCGGCCUGAGAGGGUGACCGGCCACAUUGGGACUGAGAUACGGCCCAGACUCCUACGGGAGGCAGCAGUGGGGAAUAUUGCACAAUGGGCGGAAGCCUGACGCAGCAACGCCGCGUGCGGGAUGACGGCCUUCGGGUUGUAAACCGCUUUCGCCUGUGACGAAGCGUGAGUGACGGUAAUGGGUAAAGAAGCACCGGCUAACUACGUGCCAGCAGCCGCGGUGAUACGUAGGGUGCGAGCGUUGUCCGGAUUUAUUGGGCGUAAAGGGCUCGUAGGUGGUUGAUCGCGUCGGAAGUGUAAUCUUGGGGCUUAACCCUGAGCGUGCUUUCGAUACGGGUUGACUUGAGGAAGGUAGGGGAGAAUGGAAUUCCUGGUGGAGCGGUGGAAUGCGCAGAUAUCAGGAGGAACACCAGUGGCGAAGGCGGUUCUCUGGGCCUUUCCUGACGCUGAGGAGCGAAAGCGUGGGGAGCGAACAGGCUUAGAUACCCUGGUAGUCCACGCUGUAAACGGUGGGUACUAGGUGUGGGGUCCAUUCCACGGGUUCCGUGCCGUAGCUAACGCUUUAAGUACCCCGCCUGGGGAGUACGGCCGCAAGGCUAAAACUCAAAGGAAUUGACGGGGCCCCGCACAAGCGGCGGAGCAUGCGGAUUAAUUCGAUGCAACGCGUAGAACCUUACCUGGGUUUGACAUGGAUCGGGAGUGCUCAGAGAUGGGUGUGCCUCUUUUGGGGUCGGUUCACAGGUGGUGCAUGGCUGUCGUCAGCUCGUGUCGUGAGAUGUUGGGUUAAGUCCCGCAACGAGCGCAACCCUUGUUCACUGUUGCCAGCACGUUAUGGUGGGGACUCAGUGGAGACCGCCGGGGUCAACUCGGAGGAAGGUGGGGAUGACGUCAAGUCAUCAUGCCCCUUAUGUCCAGGGCUUCACGCAUGCUACAAUGGCUGGUACAGAGAGUGGCGAGCCUGUGAGGGUGAGCGAAUCUCGGAAAGCCGGUCUCAGUUCGGAUUGGGGUCUGCAACUCGACCUCAUGAAGUCGGAGCCGCUAGUAAUCGCAGAUCAGCAACGCUGCGGUGAAUACGUUCCCGGGGCU